This 497-nucleotide ribosomal RNA is filed under the name uncultured bacterium. Its description in RNAcentral is "partial 16S ribosomal RNA". It matches the Rfam family "Bacterial small subunit ribosomal RNA", at positions 28 to 507 of the family's 1533-position model. The record is from RNAcentral.
GAUGAACGCUGGCGGCGUGCUUAAUACAUGCAAGUCGAGCGAACGGACGAGAAGCUUGUUUCUCUGAUGUUAGCGGCGCACGGGUGUGUAACACGUGGAUAACCCACUUAUAUGACUGGUAUAAUUUCGGAAAACCGGCGCUAAUACCGUAUAAUAUCCUGAACCGCAUGGUGGAAUAGUAAAAGACGGCCUUGCGGUCACUUAUAGAUGGAUCUGCGCUGCAUUAGCUAGUUGGUACGGUAACGGCUUACCAAGGCAACGAUGCCUAGCCGACCUGUGAGGCGGGUAGGCCGCACUGGAAGUGAGCCACGGUCAAUAGUCCUGCGGGACGGCGCAGUAGCGAAUGUUAGGCAGUAGUGGAAAACCUGGCGGAGUGGCGCGGCGUGUGAUAUGAAAGUCUCCCGAUCGUAAAACUCUGUUAUUGGGGAUAAACAUCUGUGUAAGUAACUGUGCACAUCUUGACGGUACCUAAUCAGAAAGCCACGGCUAACUACGUG